CAGUUGCUGAACAUAACCAUUGCAGUCCAACCUAAUAUUGGUUCCUUUCUUCUAACUCUUCCUUCCACUUCCAUGUUGCCAAAGUUGUCAAUAAUGAGUCUGGAUUGGACAAUACCAAUAGUGAAUAGUGAUUCAUUGUCACAGCACCACCACUUCCUGGGAACAGGAAGUGAGGCUUACUCAGAAAACAGUACUUCUACUUCGUUACAUUGGACUAUACACCAUCGCUACUUUUACUUGACUAGAAUUUAUUUUUAUUUAAAUUUUUACACUCGGCUGCUUUGGAGUUCUCCUUCAGCGAAUUUCCAACUGAGAGAGUAAGCCUCAGCAGCACCACAAAAUUAGCAGAGGAGUAGCUUGUGUAACUGAAGACAAAUGUACGUGUGUCACCCUCAAAGGAGAAUCUACAUCCCUUGCCUUUUAAAUGACAGGAAACAAUAGUCAUAUUAUGUGCUGCUAACUUUGUUGACAUAAAACUGUGAAUAUCUCAAGCUUCAAAAACAGCACAUCUAAUCUGAGAAAGCAUGUAAUGGCCAUAAAGUGUGGAUCAAAGUUCUCUGGAUAAGUGAGUCUGCCAAAUGCUGUAAGACACAUGCCUACCAAAGAUGUGAGUGAAAAUGCCCACAAUUAACAAAGUAUGUCCCAGGGCAGUGGUUCCCAAACUUUUCCAGGGCAAGGCCCCCCAAAUGGCAUUAACAUUUGACCGAGGCCUCCCUUUUGCAAGAUGUCUUUAAAACACAUUAAAAAUACAGACUUCUGAAUAGAUCUGAAUAUAUAAUAUAUAAUAGUAUAUAAUACAUAAUUUUAUUAAUAAUUACAUCUUGUAUCUUUACAUUACAUUAGAUUAGGAAUUGAUUGUGUGUGUGUGGUUGUCUGAGAGUGAGAAAAAGGAAAUCAUGUAUUUACUUAUUUUUCACACCAAAUUGUUGAGGCCCCCUGGGCGCCCCCCACUUUGAAAACCACUGUCCCAGGGGAUGCAACAGAGUCUCUUAUUACAUGUAUAGUAUGUUAUUACCAUCAGAAUUAGGAGUGCAGUGAUAAAGUAAAUUCUGAUAGUGUUGGCAAACAUCACAGCAGUUCAGUUCACUG
Molecule: long non-coding RNA, 1089 nt
Organism: Ictalurus punctatus (channel catfish)
Lineage: Eukaryota; Metazoa; Chordata; Actinopteri; Siluriformes; Ictaluridae
Source: Ensembl